Molecule: ribosomal RNA, 498 nt
Filed under: Triticum aestivum (bread wheat)
Lineage: Eukaryota; Viridiplantae; Streptophyta; Magnoliopsida; Poales; Poaceae
Description: partial small subunit ribosomal RNA
Source: RNAcentral
CUGGUUGAAACAUUUAAGGAUUCCUUUUCCCCCAGUGAGCUUUCUGCUAUCGUGGGUAUGGAUAGAUUUCAUUGGCAAUCUGUACCGGCUUCGGGCCACUCUGGAGGGAUUCUGAUCGGUUCUAAUAAGGACAUUUUUGACUUUGUUGCUUUUGAUCAUGGGUUUUAUUGGGCUAGUGUGGUUCUCUCGCACAGAUCUAUGAAUACCCUCUGUGAAUUUAUAGUUGUUUAUGGGCCCGCGGAUCACUCCUUUUCGCAUCUUUUCCUUGAUGAACUUUCGAUCAAGAUUGAGUCCUGUACUCUUCCGAUGGUUAUUGGGGGAGACUUUAAUCUUCUGCGAUGCCCUCUUGACAAGAAUAAUGAUAAUUUUUCCUGGUCUUUAGCCAAUGCUUUUAACGACUUUAUUAGUGCCAACGCUAUUCGGGAGCUUCCUCGGGGGGGAGCCCGCUUUACUUGGUCUAAUCAUCAGGUGAACCCUAUCAGAUCCGUGCUUGAUCGU